UAGUAACGGCGAGUGAAGAGGGAAAAGCUCAAAUUUUGAAUCUGGCGCCUUUGGCUCCCGAGUUGUAAUCUAGAGAAGUGUUUUCCGCAUCGGACCGUGUAAAAGUUCCCUGGAACGGGACGUCAUAGAGGGUGAGAAUCCCGUACAUGCCACGGACUGCCGUUGCUCUGUGAUACACUCUCAACGAGUCGAGUUGUUUGGGAAUGCAGCUCAAAAUGGGUGGUAAAUUCCAUCUAAAGCUAAAUAUUGGCGAGAGACCGAUAGCGAACAAGUACCGUGAGGGAAAGAUGAAAAGCACUUUGGAAAGAGAGUGAAACAGUACGUGAAAUUGUUGAAAGGGAAGCGUUUGGAGUCAGUCGCGUCUGGUGGGAUUCAGCCUUGCUUCUUAUUGGUGUUUUUCCUGUCUGACGGGUCAGUGUCGAUUUCGAUUGAGGGAGAAAGGCUUGGGGAAUGUGGCUGUCUUCGGGCAGUGUUAUAGCCCCUUGUUGUAUGUCUCAGUUGGGAUCGAGGAAUGCAGCACGCCUUUUGGCCGGGGUUCGCGCCCUCGGUACGUGCUUAGGA
RNAcentral lists this ribosomal RNA (561 nucleotides) under uncultured Sebacinales. RNAcentral's name for it is "eukaryotic LSU rRNA". It matches the Rfam family "Eukaryotic large subunit ribosomal RNA", at positions 81 to 618 of the family's 3401-position model. The record is from RNAcentral. Lineage: Eukaryota; Fungi; Basidiomycota; Agaricomycetes; Sebacinales.